This 496-nucleotide ribosomal RNA is filed under the name uncultured bacterium. RNAcentral's name for it is "partial 16S ribosomal RNA". It matches the Rfam family "Bacterial small subunit ribosomal RNA", at positions 28 to 506 of the family's 1533-position model. The record is from RNAcentral.
GAUGAACGCUGGCGGCGUGCCUAAUACAUGCAAGUCGAGCGGACGGACGAGAAGCUUGCUUCUCUGAUGUUAGCGGCGGACGGGUGAGUAACACGUGGAUAACCUACCUAUAAGACUGGGAUAACUUCGGGAAACCGGAGCUAAUACCGGAUGAUAUUUUGAACCGCAUGGUUCAAAAGUGAAAGACGGUCUUGCUGCCACUUAUAGAUGGAUCCGCGCUGCAUUAGCUAGUUGGUACGGUAACGGCUUACCAAGGCAACGAUGCAUAGCCAACCUGAGAGGGUGAUCGGCCAAACUGGAACUGAGACACGGUCCAGACGCUGACGGGAGGCAGCAGUAGGGAAUCUGCCGCAAGGGGCGAAAGCCUGACGGAGCAACGCCGCGUGAGUGAUGAAGGUCUUCGGAUCGUAAAACUCUGUUAUUAGGGAAGAACAUAUGUGUAAGUAACUGUGCACAUCUUGACGGUACCUAAGCAGAAAGCCACGGCUAACUACGU